CCUACGGGUGGCAGCAGUGGGGAAUAUUGCACAAUGGGGGAAACCCUGAUGCAGCGACGCCGCGUGAGGGAAGAAGUAUUUAGGUAUGUAAAGCUCUAUCAGCAGGGAAGAAAAUGACGGUACCUGUUGAAGAAGCCCCGGCUAACUACGUGCCAGCAGCCGCGGUAAUACGUAGGGGGCAAGCGUUAUCCGGAUUUACUGGGUGUAAAGGGAGCGUAGACGGCAGCACAAGUCUGGAGUGAAAUGCCGGGGCUUAACCCCGGAACUGCUUUGGAAACUGUGCAGCUAGAGUGCAGGAGAGGUAGGGGGAAUUCCUGGUGUAGCGGUGAAAUGCGUAGAUAUUAGGAGGAACACCAGUGGCGAAGGCAGCUUACUGGACUGUAACUGACGUUGAGGCUCGAAAGCGUGGGGAGCAAACAGGAUUAGAUACCCCUGUAGUC
Molecule: ribosomal RNA, 440 nt
Filed under: uncultured bacterium
Lineage: Bacteria
Description: partial 16S ribosomal RNA
Rfam family: Bacterial small subunit ribosomal RNA
Source: RNAcentral